RNAcentral lists this microRNA precursor (84 nucleotides) under Bombyx mori (domestic silkworm). Its description in RNAcentral is "mir-2807 microRNA precursor family". It matches the Rfam family "mir-2807 microRNA precursor family". The record is from Rfam by way of RNAcentral. Lineage: Eukaryota; Metazoa; Arthropoda; Insecta; Lepidoptera; Bombycidae.
UUAGUUCAUAUUUGUAUGGAAUGGGAUCGUUUGCGUACGUUUGCCGCUAGGGGCGCUGUUCCAAUUGCAUACAAAAUUGGCUUA